RNAcentral lists this unclassified non-coding RNA (372 nucleotides) under uncultured Cryomorphaceae bacterium. RNAcentral describes it as "contains 16S-23S intergenic spacer region". Lineage: Bacteria; Pseudomonadati; Bacteroidota; Flavobacteriia; Flavobacteriales; Cryomorphaceae. The record is from RNAcentral.
UCACAGUUUGCACUGGCAGUCUUGUUAGAGUUCCCGACACUACCCGCUGGCAACUAGAGACAAGGGUUUCGCUCGUUAAGGGACUUAACCCGACACCUCACAGCACGAGCUGACGACGGCCAUGCAGCACCUUGCAUCCUGCCCGAGGGAGGGCUGGUUUCCCAGCCUGUCAGGAUGCAUUUAAGCCCAGGUAAGGUUCCUCGCGUAUCAUCGAAUUAAACCACAUGCUCCACCGCUUGUGCGGGCCCCCGUCAAUUCCUUUGAGUUUCAACCUUGCGAUCGUACUCCCCAGGUGGAUUACUUAUCACUUUCGCUUGGGCACUGACCGUAUAUCGCCAGCACCGAGUAAUCAUAGUUUACGGCGUGGACUAC